CCCAAAUUGGGGGGCCUUCUAUAACGUUCCUAACCAAUGCUCUUCACAGGGAUCAAGAUCAAGAUCAUAAACAACAAGGAAAACCAAGGAAUCAUCACAGGCUGGGGGAGACUAAGUAGACAACACAACUCAAUGCAAUGUGGAAUCCUAGAACAGAGAAAGGACGCUGGCAGAAGAAUGAGUCAAUCCAAUAAGCAGGGCCAAGACUGAUAACGAAUGGCCCGUGGGAAGCGCACGAAGUCCAACGUGAAUCAACGAUAGCACUAAUGAAAUUGCUUCAAGUUCUAGAGCAGAAGGGAGAACAAAGUGGAUCCCGUCUCCAGGCAAGGGCUCCCCCGUUCCCAUGGUGUGGAGAAGCCUGCCAAGAGCCGAACCGCGGCCUGAGUUCUAAGCACCGCCGGUCAUGUGGCUCACGAGGAGCCCAUCCAUCUUCCUGCACCUCAGAUCUAUAUUCACUACAGACAAGGAAUAACUCUGUAGGUAACCUCUCAUUCUAAACCGGGCUCCGUCAGGUGAGGCUGAGAGAAGGACAUUCACUGGGAACCGUCAAGAUGUCAAAAAAUAUCAAUCCCAUGGGCCAUGUUUCCAAUCCUCCUACCUCCUACCCAGACGAACUCAUUACGAAACAGGAUUCUUACAGAUCCAUAGCAUUUUGCAAGCUGACAUAGGACCCUUUCAAACAAUGCAACCUAACCUUCACCAACAGCUAUGAUUCUCU
This 718-nucleotide long non-coding RNA is filed under the name Homo sapiens (human). RNAcentral describes it as "non-protein coding lnc-C2CD4A-8:3". The record is from RNAcentral. Lineage: Eukaryota; Metazoa; Chordata; Mammalia; Primates; Hominidae.